This 86-nucleotide transfer RNA is filed under the name Gordonia bronchialis. RNAcentral's name for it is "tRNA-Ala(ggc)". Lineage: Bacteria; Bacillati; Actinomycetota; Actinomycetes; Mycobacteriales; Gordoniaceae. The record is from RNAcentral.
CGCGGCGUGCCGGAUCGGUGUUGGCCUGAUUGGCGCGCAGGGCGUCGAGCUCCGUCGCGAAGACCUGUUCCACCCGGGCGCCACCG